UAACACUUGUGCAAAAAGAUAAGUUUGGGGUAUGCAUCCGUAAAUUGAAAAUGUUGUUGAAAAAUGGCAAGUGCUAGGAAAAGAAAAAAAAGAAGAGAAAAAGUGUGUAGAAACAUCCGCUUCUACCGAAAAAAAGAAGAAAAAGAAAUGAAAAAAAAAAGCACUUGCCUUAGAAAUAGGCUCAUGCAUUAAAAUGAAGUUGAGUGGAAAAAGAGUGAAGAUUUGACGACACCCCAAAAAUAAAAAAUUUACACCAAGAAAAACAAAAAC
Molecule: long non-coding RNA, 270 nt
Filed under: Lathyrus oleraceus (garden pea)
Lineage: Eukaryota; Viridiplantae; Streptophyta; Magnoliopsida; Fabales; Fabaceae
Description: Pisum sativum (pea) long non-coding RNA (PSAT_LNC007652)
Source: RNAcentral